CGUGAAACCGAAAACUGAAAAAAACCGCACCGAAACCCGAACUGAAGCCGAACAAAACCGCGCCGAAAAAAAACCGAACCGAAAAGGAAAAACCGCACCGAACCGCACUCUGUUCGGUUUGGUUUUCGGUUUCAGCCCGGUAAAAACCGAACCGAACCGAAAACCAAAUUAUUGUUCAUAUAUAUAUGUAAAACGGCGUCGUUUUGUUCAAGUCAGAAACCCUAGGCGCCGCACCAUAAAUAGCUUUCUCACACCUCACACGGUCAUUCCACAGCCGCACGCCUUCCAGUCUUAUCUUCGUCAGUUCCCUUUUCUUUUUCGAUGUUUGAUUCUUCUCUUCAGCGCCUUAAGGCCCUCAACCUUUUGAGACUUGAAACGUUCCGGUAUUCGCUAAUCAACAAUCAGACUUCAGUUCCUCUCUUCCUCAAUCAUAAAUCCACUUUCGAUUUCGAUCCGAUUCUUCUGGGGUGAAUUGCCAAACUCCCUAUCUUGAAUCUGCCUCUUCUAGAAUCACCAUGAGCUCAUGGUCAAGGAUGAGAAGACCCUCCUCAUUGGUGCGAAGCCAGUCGCCGUCUUUGGGCUCAGAAACCUAGAGGAGAUCCCAUGGAGUCGUAUGGUGCUGAUAUUGUCCACUGCAAUGUUAAAAGACGCUGCUGCUCACUUAAAGAUGGAGCUGCUGGGAUUGUUAAUGAUGGGUCUGAGAUGGUGUGCCAAAUGAAAGGCACGGUUGGAUUGAAUGCUCCUCUCAUGAUGCAGGCUUGAACCUUCAAUGGGCAAGAGGCAAGGAGAGAAAGAAUGACUUUGUCGGUAAGGGUACGAUACGCUUGGAAGAACUUGUGAUUUUAAUGCCACAUGCUUUAAGGAAACAACUAGUUGAUGAUUGUGAAUCAGUUACUCAUCUGGGCAAGGCCCAUAUCCAUUCUUGCAGCUUGUUAAACUUCCCCGAACUCUAAAUGUUGAUGACAUACUGAAGAAGUAUCUAGAAUACAGAUCAAACAGCGAUGAUUUGCAACAAGAACCAAUUAUCAAAAUUUUCCAGCUGUUUUAGAGGAUAUAUUUCUAGAUAAUGUUUUUAGCUUUUUCUCUUUUCUUUCCAUAUCGAAAUGGCUCCAAUGGCCUUGAUUUUUUCCAUGUUGAGAAGGCUCCAAUGGCCAUAUUGAGAAGGCUCCAAUGGCCUUGAUUUCUUA
This is a long non-coding RNA of Rosa rugosa (rugosa rose), 1187 nucleotides long. RefSeq lists it as uncharacterized. The record is from RefSeq and is a predicted model, not a curated record. NCBI's taxonomy places the organism in Eukaryota, Viridiplantae, Streptophyta, Magnoliopsida, Rosales, Rosaceae. The transcript has 7 exons.